UACGUAGGGUGCAAGCGUUGUCCGGAGUUAUUGGGCGUAAAGAGCUCGUAGGCUGUCUGUUGCGUCGGCUGUGAAAACCCGGGGCUCAACUCCGGGCCUGCAGCCGAUACGGGCAGACUAGAGUUCGGCAGGGGAGACUGGAAUUCCUGGUGUAGCGGUGAAAUGCGCAGAUAUCAGGAGGAACACCUGCGGCGAAGGCGGGUUGCUGGGCUGACACUGACGCUGAUGCGCGAAAGCGUGGGGAGCAAAACGG
Molecule: ribosomal RNA, 253 nt
Filed under: uncultured bacterium
Lineage: Bacteria
Description: partial 16S ribosomal RNA
Rfam family: Bacterial small subunit ribosomal RNA
Source: RNAcentral